GGAUCAAUAGUUUUUGGAAUAUUCUAUUUACAAUAGAGAGGUGAUUUUGGUUCU
This 54-nucleotide transfer RNA is filed under the name Dracunculus medinensis (Guinea worm). RNAcentral describes it as "tRNA-Val". Lineage: Eukaryota; Metazoa; Nematoda; Chromadorea; Rhabditida; Dracunculidae. The record is from RNAcentral.